This 72-nucleotide transfer RNA is filed under the name Pteragogus flagellifer (cocktail wrasse). RNAcentral's name for it is "tRNA-Asp". It matches the Rfam family "tRNA". Rfam says of the family: Transfer RNA (tRNA) molecules are approximately 80 nucleotides in length. The record is from RNAcentral. Lineage: Eukaryota; Metazoa; Chordata; Actinopteri; Labriformes; Labridae.
AGGAUGCUAGUAUAAAUGAUAACACACGGCCUUGUCGGGACUGAAAUGUAGGUUAAAUCCCUGCGCAUCCUG